UACGUAGGGGGCGAGCGUUGUCCGGAUUUAUUGGGCGUAAAGAGCGUGUAGGCGGCCAGGUAGGUCCGUUGUGAAAACUCGAGGCUCAACCUCGAGACGUCGGCGGAAACCCUCUGGCUAGAGUCCGGAAGAGGAGAGUGGAAUUCCUGGUGUAGCGGUGAAAUGCGCAGAUAUCAGGAAGAACACCCGUGGCGAAGGCGGCUCUCUGGGACGGUACUGACGCUGAGACGCGAAAGCGUGGGGAGCGAUCCGG
RNAcentral lists this ribosomal RNA (253 nucleotides) under uncultured bacterium. Its description in RNAcentral is "partial 16S ribosomal RNA". It matches the Rfam family "Bacterial small subunit ribosomal RNA", at positions 524 to 776 of the family's 1533-position model. The record is from RNAcentral.